RNAcentral lists this ribosomal RNA (496 nucleotides) under uncultured bacterium. RNAcentral describes it as "bacterial SSU rRNA". It matches the Rfam family "Bacterial small subunit ribosomal RNA", at positions 29 to 523 of the family's 1533-position model. The record is from RNAcentral.
AUUAAACGCUGGCGGCAUGCCUUACACAUGCAAGUCGAACGGCAGCACGGGGGCAACCCUGGUGGCGAGUGGCGAACGGGUGAGUAAAGCAUCGGAACGUGCCCUGGAGUGGGGGAUAACGUAGCGAAAGUUACGCUAAUACCGCAUAUUCUGUGAGCAGGAAAGCAGGGGAUCGCAAGACCUUGCGCUCUGGGAGCGGCCGAUGUCGGAUUAGCUAGUUGGUGGGGUAAAGGCCUACCAAGGCGACGAUCCGUAGCGGGUCUAAGAGGAUGAUCCGCCACACUGGGACUGAGACACGGCCCAGACUCCUACGGGAGGCAGCAGUGGGGAAUUUUGGACAAUGGGCGAAAGCCUGAUCCAGCCAUGCCGCGUGAGUGAAGAAGGCCUUCGGUUGUAAAGCUCUUCGUGGGAGAAUGCAUAGGCUAAUACCCUCGUGUAGAUGACGGUACCUGGAGAAGAAGACACCGGCGUAACUACGUGCCAGCAGCCGCGGUAA